RNA transcript from Podarcis raffonei (Aeolian wall lizard), 4759 nucleotides. It is a transcript of the gene named EPH receptor B1, with no coding region annotated. The record is from RefSeq and is a predicted model, not a curated record. Lineage: Eukaryota; Metazoa; Chordata; Lepidosauria; Squamata; Lacertidae. The transcript has 17 exons.
GGAAGCCUCUCUCUCUCUCUCCCCCCUCCCUCCUUGCAGCCUCAGUGGCUGAUCCAGUUCUCACUGUACACUUUACUACGGCUUGCAAUGUGACACUAAAAUAUACACUCCCUCGCUCUCUCACGCACACCUCACACACACACGCACGCACCCACCCAGACACUCGCACAUACCUUCACACACACACAUAUACACAGACACGCAUGCACGCACGCACACACGGACCCACGCGGGCGACGGGGCUAUAAUCCGGAGUGGAGAUCGUUCUUUCUCUCUGUGUGUGUGAACGGAUCUAGAUCGGUCGCUGCAUCUCCGCGUCUGGUUGAAGCGGAGCCCGCGGAGCAGCGGGAAGGGAACUAAGCGCGGUCGCCCGACCAGGAGCUAUUUCUCCGCGGGUGCGCCCGCAUCAUGUUUGGCGCGCCCAUGCCAUUGGAUUUUGUCGUGCUGUUCUGCUUGGCAUCUGCGAUCGCAGCCGUGGAAGAAACCCUAAUGGAUACUCGGACAGCCACGGCUGAACUUGGAUGGACAGCAAACCCACCUUCAGGGUGGGAAGAAGUCAGUGGCUACGAUGAGAACCUCAACACUAUCCGGACUUACCAGGUGUGCAAUGUCUUUGAGCCCAACCAGAACAACUGGCUCCUCACCACGUUCAUCAACCGACGGGGCGCGCACCGCAUCUACACAGAGAUGCGCUUCACGGUGAGGGACUGCAGCAGCCUUCCGAAUGUCCCUGGUUCUUGCAAGGAAACCUUCAACCUGUAUUACUAUGAGACAGACUCUGUCAUCGCCACCAAGAAGUCAGCCUUCUGGACAGAGGCCCCCUACCUCAAGGUGGACACCAUCGCUGCAGACGAGAGCUUCUCUCAGGUGGACUUUGGUGGCAGGUUGAUGAAGGUGAACACAGAGGUGAGGAGCUUUGGUCCCCUCAAUCGCAACGGCUUUUACCUGGCCUUUCAGGAUUAUGGGGCGUGCAUGUCACUGCUGUCAGUGAGGGUCUUCUUUAAGAAAUGCCCCAGCGUGGUGCAGAAUUUUGCCAUCUUCCCAGAGACGAUGACAGGAGCAGAGAGCACCUCCCUAGUGAUUGCACGGGGCACGUGCAUCCCGAAUGCCGAGGAGGUGGAUGUGCCCAUUAAGUUGUAUUGCAAUGGUGAUGGGGAGUGGAUGGUUCCCAUUGGCCGCUGUACCUGCAAGGCUGGAUAUGAGCCCGAGAACAAUGUGGCCUGCAAAGCUUGCACAGCAGGGAUGUUCAAAGCAAACCAGGGUGCCGGGACCUGCACACAGUGCCCCUCCAACAGCCGCUCCACAUCAGAGGCUGCCCACAUUUGCACUUGUCGCAAUGGUUACUACCGUGCUGACUUUGAUCCAUCAGAGGUUCCUUGUACCAGUGUUCCUUCCGGGCCUCGCAACGUGAUCUCUAUUGUCAAUGAAACGUCAAUUAUACUAGAAUGGCACCCACCCCGGGAGACGGGAGGUCGAGAUGAUGUGACCUACAACAUUGUCUGCAAGAAGUGUCGGUCGGACCGCCGUAGCUGCUCCCGCUGUGAUGACAACGUGGAGUUUGUGCCAAGGCAGCUGGGCCUCACGGAAACCCGAGUCUUUAUCAGCAACCUGUGGGCCCAUACGCCAUAUACCUUUGAGAUCCAGGCUGUCAAUGGAGUUUCCAACAAAAGCCCAUUCCCACCGCAGCAUGUCUCCGUGAACAUCACCACCAACCAAGCUGCUCCCUCCACAGUUCCCAUCAUGCACCAGGUAAGUGCCAGCAUGAGGAGCAUCACACUGUCAUGGCCUCAGCCGGAACAGCCCAAUGGCAUCAUCCUGGACUAUGAGAUCCGUUACUAUGAGAAGGUGAGCCGGAUCUGCAUCCCCGAGAUUAGCAGCACUAUGGGCGCAAGACCAUCCACCGACCACAAUGAGUACAAUUCCUCCAUGGCAAAGAGCCAGACCAACACGGCACGGAUUGAUGGGCUGCGACCAGGGAUGGUGUAUGUGGUACAGGUUCGGGCUCGGACAGUGGCUGGCUAUGGGAAAUACAGUGGAAAAAUGUGCUUCCAAACCUUAACGGACGAUGACUACAAGUCAGAACUGAGAGAACAACUGCCAUUGAUUGCCGGGUCUGCAGCAGCAGGGGUCGUCUUUAUUGUCUCCUUAGUGGCUAUUUCAAUUGUUUGCAGCAGGAAGCGAGCUUACAGCAAAGAGGCAGUAUACAGUGAUAAGUUACAACACUACAGCACUGGUCGAGGCUCCCCAGGAAUGAAGAUCUACAUUGACCCUUUUACGUAUGAGGACCCCAAUGAAGCUGUUCGUGAGUUUGCCAAGGAAAUUGAUGUGUCUUUCGUGAAGAUUGAAGAAGUCAUUGGAGCAGGGGAGUUUGGUGAAGUCUACAAAGGGCGCCUCAAACUGCCUGGCAAGAGAGAAAUCUAUGUGGCUAUUAAGACAUUAAAGGCUGGCUACUCUGAGAAGCAGCGGCGGGAUUUCCUGAGUGAGGCCAGCAUCAUGGGUCAGUUUGAUCAUCCAAACAUCAUUCGGCUAGAGGGGGUGGUCACCAAAAGCCGUCCAGUGAUGAUUAUUACAGAGUUUAUGGAAAAUGGUGCCCUGGAUUCCUUUUUACGACAAAACGAUGGGCAGUUUACAGUCAUCCAGUUGGUGGGGAUGCUGCGAGGGAUUGCAGCUGGUAUGAAGUACCUUGCAGAAAUGAAUUACGUCCACCGGGACCUUGCAGCCAGAAAUAUCCUGGUCAACAGCAACCUGGUUUGCAAAGUAUCUGACUUUGGCCUGUCACGUUACUUACAAGAUGACACCUCAGACCCAACUUAUACCAGCUCUUUGGGUGGGAAGAUCCCAGUGAGGUGGACAGCCCCAGAAGCCAUCGCCUACCGCAAAUUUACAUCUGCCAGCGAUGUGUGGAGUUAUGGGAUUCUCAUGUGGGAAGUGAUGUCAUUUGGGGAAAGACCCUAUUGGGACAUGUCCAACCAAGAUGUAAUUAAUGCAAUUGAACAAGACUACCGGCUCCCUCCUCCCAUGGACUGCCCAGCUGCCCUCCACCAGCUUAUGUUAGAUUGCUGGCAGAAAGACCGCAACACCCGGCCACGCUUUGCUGAAAUAGUUAACACCCUAGACAAAAUGAUCCGUAAUCCAGCAAGCCUCAAAACUGUGGCUACCAUCACCGCUGUGCCUUCUCAGCCACUGUUGGACCGCUCCAUCCCUGAUUUCACUGCCUUUACCUCAGUAGAAGAUUGGCUCAGCGCCAUCAAAAUGAACCAGUACAGAGACAGUUUUCUGACUGCUGGAUUCACGUCCCUUCAAUUAGUUGCCCAAAUGACAUCAGAAGAUCUUCUAAGAAUAGGGGUGACCUUAGCUGGACACCAGAAGAAGAUCCUGAACAGUGUCCAGUCUAUGAGAGUACAGAUGAGCCAGUCGCCAACUUCGAUGGCAUGAUGCUUCGUGUCUUCUUACAACAAUGGGGGAAAAGAGGGGAGGACAGAGGAGGGUUGGAUGUGGGAGGGGAGGGUAAGCCGACAAGACAGUGAGAUGUUUGCAGAGGUUGGAUUAUCGUCUGAGAACUUUUAGGAGCUGCAGGCGAAGAGGACACAGGACUUGUUUCAACAUGGCAACUUCCGUUUCUCUCCAACAGAAGCACACUUACUGAUGCCAUGGGAAGCAGCAUAUAAAUAAGUAUAAAUAUGUACAAACCAUAUAUUUAAAAAAAAGCAGUGAAGACAAACCAAUGUGUGUUGGGAGGAAAAUAGACUCUAAUCCCACCACCAGUGAGCAGUAGUCAAGGGGCCGGUGGGAAGGAGAGAGAUGCAACCCAGAGCAACCAUCUUCAGCAAUCAUGUUCCUUUUCUUCUCUUCUUACGUUCUCCUGAUGGAGUCCUUCUCACCCACCCAUUUCCCUGUUUUGCUCAUAAACCCUGGGGAAUUUUCUUCAACAGUCUCUACAGCUACCUACUAGAAUAUCAAGGCAUUGUUCCACCAGUUACCAAAGGACUUCACUGACCACUGCAUGGGGGAUCCAGAACAAUCCAGUUAAUGUCUUCAUAUUGAAGAAGAGAUGUACCUUCAAUAGAAAACCUUGUUUUUUUCUUUUGCUUGCAUUUUUUUGCAAAAAGGGAAAAAAAAUCCUCAUGGAAAAGAAGAAAGAGUGAAGGUGUUCCCGCGAGUGUGCGUGUGUGCGUCUGUAUGUUGUCAACUUAACUGAGGAGUCACUCACUGCUUGUCCAUAGCAGGAAAAAAACCAAGUGGGACUGACGGAAGAUAAAUUCACCACCUCCGGGGAAACUGGAGAUUCAGUGGGGGAACAGAAGUGGUAUGUUUUGCUUUCUGUCUAGAUCAACUGCGCAUGGAACGUGUAUUAGGAAAUGGGGGGAGAAAAGGGAAAGCAAAGGAUUUCAUAGGAGGAAGAAAGCAGAAGAGUGGACUAUGCAACAAGGGUUUCGUGUAAAACUGUUACAGGAUGCACAACUGUAGAGGCAACUGAACAGUAGAAUCUAGCAUCCCAGGGACCAACAGAGGAAGACUCGGGGAUAUUUAGUUUCCUUGUGUGGACCUAAGAAUUUUGAUAUAUAUUCACUUUGGUUUCAUGCCAUCAGAGGAACACUUUUAUGCCACUGUUUGAUGCCGGAAGGACAUGGAAAGAGGCCAGCCCUGACAGCGAAGCUUACCACCGCAGACCUGUCCUUGUUUUCCGCUGGCAAGCUGGCCAUGCCCUGCAGAUGAGCUGUGACCUCCUGAGGGUGAUGCCAAGCCCUCGUGUCAAGAA